UACGUAGGUGACCAGCGUUGUCCGGAUUUACUGGGCGUAAAGAGCGCGCAGGCGGUCGUUCAAGUCGAGUGUGAAAGCCCCCGGCUCAACUGGGGAGGGUCACUCGAUACUGAUCGACUCGAAGGCAGGAGAGGGAAGCGGAAUUCCCGGUGUAGUGGUGAAAUGCGUAGAUAUCGGGAGGAACACCAGUGGCGAAGGCGGCUUCCUGGCCCGGUAUUGACGCUGAGGCGCGAAAGCCAGGGGAGCAAACGGG
Molecule: ribosomal RNA, 253 nt
Filed under: uncultured bacterium
Lineage: Bacteria
Description: partial 16S ribosomal RNA
Rfam family: Bacterial small subunit ribosomal RNA
Source: RNAcentral